This 227-nucleotide unclassified non-coding RNA is filed under the name Hevea brasiliensis (rubber tree). The record is from RNAcentral. Lineage: Eukaryota; Viridiplantae; Streptophyta; Magnoliopsida; Malpighiales; Euphorbiaceae.
GCCAUUAAUACAAGGAUUGUAUGCAUUGAUUAGUUUUAGUCUUCUACUCAGUUUCCUAUUUUGAAGAUUAAUUUAUUCGGUGAUAUACUCACUACCGAUAAAUAAAUCCAUACUAAAUAAUAAGUUUAAUUACAGUACGAAAGUGCCAAGCACAAUAUGGAUCGAUCAGUUUGAUAGCGGCCUCUCACCUUGUUUGAUGCAUAUAGCCAACCACCUUAUUAAUCAGG